GGCAUCUGGAAUGGCUCUGUUACACAAAAAUUGGUCGUUUGUUUGUAAGACCUCUUUAGCCAUGGCGGAAGAAGAAACCACGACGGCGGUAACUCGUCCGAGUUUCAAACUCAUAAUUGGACCAUGUACCUUAGCCAUGGCGGCGAGUGACUUGUGAGGUUUGUGGCCGAGAUCCAAGAGAUUUCCGAUGAGCGGCAGAGGAUUUGGUCCCGG
Molecule: unclassified non-coding RNA, 213 nt
Filed under: Hevea brasiliensis (rubber tree)
Lineage: Eukaryota; Viridiplantae; Streptophyta; Magnoliopsida; Malpighiales; Euphorbiaceae
Source: RNAcentral